AGAAUNUUGAUCCUGGCUCAGGACGAACGCUGGCGGCGUGCUUAACACAUGCAAGUCGAACGGAAAGGCCCUGCUUUUGUGGGGUGCUCGAGUGGCGAACGGGUGAGUAACACGUGAGUAACCUGCCCUUGACUUUGGGAUAACUUCAGGAAACUGGGGCUAAUACCGGAUAGGAACUCCUGCUGCAUGGUGGGGGUUGGAAAGUUUCGGCGGUUGGGGAUGGACUCGCGGCUUAUCAGCUUGUUGGUGGGGUAGUGGCUUACCAAGGCUUUGACGGGUAGCCGGCCUGAGAGGGUGACCGGCCACAUUGGGACUGAGAUACGGCCCAGACUCCUACGGGAGGCAGCAGUGGGGAAUAUUGCACAAUGGGCGGAAGCCUGAUGCAGCAACGCCGCGUGCGGGAUGACGGCCUUCGGGUUGUAAACCGCUUUCGCCUGUGACGAAGCGUGAGUGACGGUAAUGGGUAAAGAAGCACCGGCUAACUACGUGCCAGCAGCCGCGGUGAUACGUAGGGUGCGAGCGUUGUCCGGAUUUAUUGGGCGUAAAGGGCUCGUAGGUGGUUGAUCGCGUCGGAAGUGUAAUCUUGGGGCUUAACCCUGAGCGUGCUUUCGAUACGGGUUGACUUGAGGAAGGUAGGGGAGAAUGGAAUUCCUGGUGGAGCGGUGGAAUGCGCAGAUAUCAGGAGGAACACCAGUGGCGAAGGCGGUUCUCUGGGCCUUUCCUGACGCUGAGGAGCGAAAGCGUGGGGAGCGAACAGGCUUAGAUACCCUGGUAGUCCACGCUGUAAACGGUGGGUACUAGGUGUGGGGUCCAUUCCACGGGUUCCGUGCCGUAGCUAACGCUUUAAGUACCCCGCCUGGGGAGUACGGCCGCAAGGCUAAAACUCAAAGGAAUUGACGGGGCCCCGCACAAGCGGCGGAGCAUGCGGAUUAAUUCGAUGCAACGCGUAGAACCUUACCUGGGUUUGACAUGGAUCGGGAGUGCUCAGAGAUGGGUGUGCCUCUUUUGGGGUCGGUUCACAGGUGGUGCAUGGCUGUCGUCAGCUCGUGUCGUGAGAUGUUGGGUUAAGUCCCGCAACGAGCGCAACCCUUGUUCACUGUUGCCAGCACGUUAUGGUGGGGACUCAGUGGAGACCGCCGGGGUCAACUCGGAGGAAGGUGGGGAUGACGU
This 1170-nucleotide ribosomal RNA is filed under the name uncultured bacterium. RNAcentral's name for it is "bacterial SSU rRNA". It matches the Rfam family "Bacterial small subunit ribosomal RNA", at positions 1 to 1185 of the family's 1533-position model. The record is from RNAcentral.